Molecule: long non-coding RNA, 4273 nt
Organism: Nilaparvata lugens (brown planthopper)
Lineage: Eukaryota; Metazoa; Arthropoda; Insecta; Hemiptera; Delphacidae
Exons: 3
Source: RefSeq, a predicted model, not a curated record
GAGUAAACUUUUUCCUACGCUAAUUCAUGGUUUGAAGGACUAUAUGAACGUAAAGAAACGUUUAUGGAAAGACAUACAUCAGUUAUCAAUGGAGAGCAGCGCCACUACCGUAAUGAAGAUAUGGACCGGUGAAUUUGGUAUGAGGUAUCUGGUAUUUAUAUUAUUUUAAGACAGGCUAGAACUUCUUAACACUUUCCCAUAACACAGACAUUUAGGGAUGGGAUGUUUGUGGCGGUUAGUAUUAUAACAUAGUUCAUCCCAACCCUCUCGGCAGUGCCAAGUUCUAUCCGGUUGGUUCUGAGUCCAAUGGAUGCUUUCAAGUUAGAGUCAACUGACCUGCAGAUCGCAUUUCCGCGUGCCAACAACUGGACGAACAUGUGCUACUGUUUGAUUGUGGUUUGUGGAUGGCUGUGGUGUAAGACAAUCACUAUAAAUAGGGGUUGAGUUGUUAGGAUCCCCGUAGGAUAUUUGCAGUUGUCAGUCGAGUAUUUCAUUUCUGAUCAGUGCCCUUUGUGGUGGUCUCACAGCUUUUUCAUGAUGGUUGCGGGCUCAGUACAGCACUAAUUUGAUGGGCAGGUGGGGUACUGUUACACUGUGGCCUGGUCUGACUUGUUCUAUGACACUGGCGAUGUAAAUAUUAGAUUAAUGCUGGAUUAAGAUUAGAUUAAGGCUGAAGUAAAAGUGAAGUAUAGCCUCUAGCCUGUGCUAGUUGGCGGGGGGAUCAUCCACUCCUGGUGGUCAGGUAGUGCAUUAGUUUAGUUUAGUGAUAAGUCAUUAGAAUUAAGAAAUUAGAAAUCUAAGUUUAGUUUUAAGAUUGGAGUGAUAUUAGUAAAGUAAAGCCUCUAGCCUUUGCUAGUUGGCGGGGAAGAAAAAUUAUAGCCUCUAGCCUUUGCUAGUUGGCGGGGGAUAGCCUCUAGCCUUUGCUAGUUGGCGGGGAAGAAAAUGUAUAGCCUCUAGCCUUUGCUAGUUGGCGGGGGAUAGCCUCUAGCCUUUGCUAGUUGGCGGGGAAGAAAAUGUAUAGCCUCUAGACUUUGCUAGUUGGCGGGGAAGAAAAUGUAUAGCCUCUAGCCUUUGCUAGUUGGCGGGGGAUAGCCUCUAGCCUUUGCUAGUUGGCGCGGAACUGAAGAUCAAUGCAAUCCUGUAAAACCUUGGGUUUAAACUGAUUUCUAACCUAAUUUAAGUCUUAACUUGCAUGAAAUUUAGUUUAUAAGUGACUAUAUACCAUUGAUAAUUCUGAAGUUAUAUCAUUAAAGUAUAGCCUCUAGCCUUUGCUAGUUGGCCGUGGAUAGCCUAUAGCCUUUGCUAGUUGGCGGAGAGAUAGCCUCUAGCCUUUGCUAGUUGGCGGGUGAUAGCCUCUAGCCUUUGCUAGUUGGCGGGGGAUAGCCUCUAGCCUUUGCUAGUUGGCGGGUGAUAGCCUCUAGCCUUUGCUAGUUGGCGGGGACGAGAAAGCGUUGCCUCUAGCCUUUGCCAGUUGGCGGGGGGAACAUGUACUCCUGUUGGUUCAGGAAGUGCCUUAGUUUAGUUUAAUGAUAAGUUAAAGUUGUAAUUUAUAAUUUAUCAACAUUGUAUUAAUGGUCUGUUUCUUGAGUAAGUUUCAGGUUCAUCAUGGCUUCCCUUACACAUGUUUACAAAUAUUUUCUGUGUGCAUGAAAAUAAUUACAAUAUUAAUAUUAUUAUAUUUUUAACAAUAUUAUAUUAUUGUAUUCAAUAUAAUUGUUCUGUUUCUUGAGUAUGUUCCAGGUUCAUCACAUGGCUUCUCUUUCACAUGUUUACAACUAUAUACUGUGUGCAUGUGAUCAGUUUCUAAUAUUAAUAUUGUAUUUAAUUUGUUACAAUUUUUAUUAUUGUAUCUAAUGUUAUUCAUUGUAUUAAAUUGCCCUGUUCCUUAAUUUGUUUACAGGUUCAUCACAGCAUCACUUCUCUAAUAAUUAUAAACACAAUCGUCGCAGCUAUUCAUUCAUUUUUACUCUGUGAGUAAAAUGGUGUCUUUGAAUUUACAUUUUACUCUGUGAGUGAAAUGGUGUUUUUGAUUUACAUCCAAUAACAAUGGAUUCUUUGAGUAAUUAUCUUAUAUCUUGAAUUUGUAUUUUUUAUCUACAUUGUAUUCAAUCCUUUUGUUUCAGUUUCAUAGUGUUUCAGGUACAUCUUUUUAAACGCUCAUAUUUUUCAUCUUAGCUCAUCUUUUUAAACGCUCACAUCUUUUCCUCCUCCAUGCUUACUGUGUACAUGCUUUGAGUGACCCAUGUUGCAUUUAGAACAACUCAAGUUCUUUGUCAACAUAAAUUUUCUCAAUUUUUAUGUUUCUCAAGUACGUUUCAGAUUCAUUGCGGCUUCUCUACUUAAAGUGCGCACAUGCUCACAACUUUUAUUUUUCAUUUGAGUGUGAUGCCCGCAUGAGAUCUAGGCUUGUGCAUGGUUGAUGAGGCGGAUGAUAAGAUAUGAAUGCACCUACAGUUUGAGUUUUACAGUUUCAUUUCUUCAUGUUUUCUGAGUGCAUGCUUCGAGUGAUCUAGGCUUGUGCAUGGUUGAUGAGGCGGAUGAUAAUUAAUAAGAGAUGAAUGCACCUACAGUUUUAGUUUUAUCUCGUCAUUUUUAUUGAGUGCAUGCUUCGAGUGAUCUAGGCUUGUGCAUGGUUGAUGAGGCGGAUGAUAAUAAGAGAUGAAUGCACCUACAGUUUUAGUUUUAUCUCUUCAUUUUUAUUGAGUGCAUGCUUCGAGUGAUCUAGGCUUGUGCAUGGUUGAUGAGGCGGAUGAUAAUUAAUAAGAGAUGAAUGCACCUACAGUUUUAGUUUUAUCUCUUCAUUUUUUUGAGUGCAUGCUUCCAGUGAUCUAGGCUUGUGCAUGGGUAAUGAGGCGGAUGAUAAUAAGAGAUGAAUGCAUUUGCAGUUUUAGUUUUACAGCUCUAUCUCUUCAUGUGUUUUGAGUGCAUGUUUAGGAUGAUUUAUGUUGCAUCUUGAACACGUUGUGUUGUGGCCAUUUGUUGCAUACUAUAUGUUCACUUUUAUGUUUGAUAUGUGAUGAAAAACAUGUGUUAUAAUAAUAUUAUAUGUUGUAUAUUGCAUAAUAUUCAUUAUAAAUCUUGAAUGAGCUGUAGGCAUAUAAUAGAUAGAUAGAUUUAAUUCAUUUGCUAUGGACCAUACAGUCAUCAGCAACGCCAGUAAAAUAUUCAUAACACUAAGGCCCGGUUGCACAACAGUCGGUUAAAUUUUAACCGUGAUUAAUUUCACGAGAACCAAUCAGAGAUGGCCUUCUUGAUAACACGGCUUCUCUGAUUGGCUCUCGUGGGAUUAAUCACGAUUAAAAUUUAACCGGCUGUUGUGCAACCGGCACUUAACACUUCAUUGAUAAAAGAAUGUGUGAGAAACUCCUCCAAAGAAUAGAAGGGGUUUGCAAGCAGAUCAAAUAGUGAUUUGUUGAACAAAGAGACUGGAUAAUGUUUUAAUGACUCUGGCAACCCAUGUAGGAAUCAUAAGCUAUUUGUUGCAUACUAUCCAAUUAUUGGUCUUGAAUGUGUUGCCAGGUAUUAUUGUAUUCAAAAUUAUAAGUCAAGGUGAAUUAAAGAGAUGUUUUCAGUUCUACAGAAUAAUGUAGAACUGACAACAUCUCUUUCAAUAUUCAUCUUAAUAUGGAGCGAUUCCACUUCUCUUUUCCUGGUGUAAAUUUUAAAAUUAUAUAUUAUUUGCUGCAUCUACUUUCCACUUGUAUGUCUUGGAUGUGAUGUUAGGAACGUGUUUGAAUUUUAAUAGUCAUUUUAUAUUAUAUCAUCACCAUAAUGAUCAUCACUACUAUUUUUUCAAGAUAAUGGCUCAACUCACACUUACGCGACUCAGGUCGAGAAGAGACUCGACUCUAGUCGAGAGCAUGUGUUUUCAAAUGGUGACGUCGCGGAGACUAAAGUCGAAUGGUCUGAGUGUCACCAUUUGGAAACACAUGCUCUCGACUGGAGUCGAGUCUCUUCUCGACCUGAGUCGCGUAAGUGUGAGUUGAGCCUUAGAUUUCUCAUUAUUUUAGUGCUGUGUUACAGUUGAACUAAAACAUAUUUCGUUUCAGAUUAUGGGGUUUCAGCUAUAUUUUCAACUCUUUAUUACAUUUUAGUGUCAUAACAUUAAAUUUUCAAGUACUAAAUCAAGAAGAUCCUAGUGCCUUUGAAAAUUUAUGUUGAAAAAUGUAAUAAAUGAGUUCCAAUAAUAAAUAAAUUCAAUGGGAAUUUUCUAUUAUUAUGGGAAUAAAAUAGGCCUAUAUCAUAGCCACCUCUUAAUACAUACAUCUAUUAG